Molecule: ribosomal RNA, 119 nt
Filed under: Prochlorococcus sp.
Lineage: Bacteria; Bacillati; Cyanobacteriota; Cyanophyceae; Synechococcales; Prochlorococcaceae
Source: RNAcentral
GCCUACAGCCAUACCAGCCUAAGUAUACCAGUUCACGUCUGAUCACUGAAGUCAAGCAGGGUCGGGCCAUGUCAGUACUUGGCUGAGUGACUGCAUUGGAGCACAUGGUGAUGCAGGCU